RNAcentral lists this small RNA (134 nucleotides) under Drosophila erecta. RNAcentral's name for it is "GG27025". Lineage: Eukaryota; Metazoa; Arthropoda; Insecta; Diptera; Drosophilidae. The record is from RNAcentral.
GUUGAAUCAAAACAAAGUAACCCCCAUGGCAAAAGCUGUCAAUAAAAGUAUACCGUGCAAAUUUCAGUUGAGAACCGGGAUAGAAACGGCAGUGGCGGCAAUAAAAACACGCGAAACGUUGGCAGAACGCGAAA